UCCUGGUUAACCCAGGCAGUCUCGUUAGAGUUCCCAUCUUUAAAUGCUGGCAACUAACGAUAAGGGUUGCGCUCGUUGCGGGACUUAACCCAACACCUCACGGCACGAGCUGACGACAGCCAUGCAGCACCUGUGCAGAAGUCCCGAAGGAACAUAUUAUCUCUAAUAUUGUCUUCUGCAUGUCAAGCCUGGGUAAGGUUCUUCGCGUUGCAUCGAAUUAAACCACAUGCUCCACUGCUUGUGCGGGUCCCCGUCAAUUCUUUUGAGUUUCACCCUUGCGGGCGUACUUCCCAGGCGGCAUACUUAUCGCGUUUGCUUCGGCACAACCGGGGUUGAGUCCGGUUACACCAAGUAUGCAUCGUUUACGGCUAGGACUAC
RNAcentral lists this unclassified non-coding RNA (378 nucleotides) under uncultured Chlamydiales bacterium. RNAcentral's name for it is "contains 16S-23S intergenic spacer region". The record is from RNAcentral. Lineage: Bacteria; Pseudomonadati; Chlamydiota; Chlamydiia; Chlamydiales.